UGCUCCAUUCCUUUGCAUGUAUGCAUGUAUGACAUACAUACAUUCGGCGCCAUCCUCAACUCCUUCCAUCCUUCUACCCUUCUCCUAUAAUACCCUCCGUCCCUGCCUCCGUCGUUCGUCCGGAAGCAAGAAAAAAAAUGCAGAGAGAGAGAGAGGUAGGGAAACGACAGAGAAGGAGAGAAGGAAAUCGACGAAAUCCUCUCGCAUCUAGGGUUGCAGAAACUCUAACCGAUUUUUCUAUCCCUUUUCUCUCUCUCCAACGCCCUACAUUCUGAAAAUCCCUGGAAUUUCCAUCCUAGGUUUCUUCCACGCGCUCCUUGAUCUGCAUUACAGGGAUUUUCUGGAGAGAAAACCUGGGGUUUCUAGGGUUUAUAGCUGAGAAAGAAUAGAAGCCUCUGAAAUCCCGAUUUUUUCCUGAAAUUUCUAGAAAUCUGUUCCGUUUUCCUGUUUGUAAAGGUGGAUCUGACCAUCGGAGAUUUUCAAGGUGCUUUGUGUUUGUCACUUCAGAGUUUUUUGGAGACGAAUCGAGAGGUUUUCGGGUUGCUGGCUUAAGUGAUACUGAAUCCUUGGAAUUUGAGUUUUCCCAUCUCCUUUUUGGAGACAUCUACCUUUUUUUGCUCGGAUCGGAGCUCAAUCAGCGUGGAAGCUCGGAUCUCUGGAGUUUCCAAACCUUUAGCUUGCUCAUUUUCACUGAAUUUUUCUCGUGUCCUAAAAUUAUUUGGCAAAGAAAAUGGACGGGGUGAAUUUCUCAUCAACAUUACAGUGGCCCUACCUAGCUCCCAUGGCAAGAAGUUCAUGGGAAAGAUUUCCGAAGAAAAGUCUGGUGGGUUUGUCACUUGUGAGAGCCAUUCCAAAGAAAAGCGUGUUGACAAUAUAGUAGGUAUUGCAUAUGCAAUGGAUAUGUUGGAUUAUGUUGAAAAGGUUGAUAAACUAGAAAGUUCUACUAUGGGAGCAAUUGCGCAUAAGCCUACCUACUUUGUACCUGAUUCGGAAUGGAGCAUCCAUAACAUCUAAUGCUAGGUGAUAAUUGUUUAUCCUUAGAAGCGCUGAAUGAACUAACAGACGGUUACCCUGCCUCGUAUUAUGCUGAAAGACUGCUAUACUGCACUUUUGCGUUAUAAAUUUCCAUAAAACUCUUCUUUUUUCUUUUUUUUUUUUUCAAAAUGAAUGAUGAAAUUUGGAUGAUAUCACAGAUUCAAUGUCCGUGUGGAAUCUGCUGAGAGAGUUCCGCAUAGGAAGGUUCAUAUGGCUAUUGUUCUAAAUGAAUAUGGUGGAACUGUGGGAGAUAUGGUGAAGCUUGUGAUUCAGAGAUAUACUAGAGAAGCUGGUGUGCAAAAUCUAGAGAGAAACUUAGCUGCCCUGGCUCGUGCAGCUGCUGUCAAAGCUGCUGAGCAAGAAUGUGCAGUUCCAGUCAGCAAAGAUGUAUACCCGAUGGCAGAAUGACUUCUUGAUACAAGACUUGCAGAUGGUGCUGAAGUUGAAAUGGAAGUCAUUCCAAUGGGUGUUAACGGACAUGAAAUAUCAAAUGCUCUUACGAGUACCCCAGCAUUGGUUGUAGAUGAGGCUAUGCUGGAAAAGAUACUGGGGGUAAUAUAUCUUUUUUCUUCCUCCUAGGUUUGAUGAUGGAGAAACUGCAAAACGUAUGGCAACUCCUGGAGUAUCAGUUGGGCUUGUCUGGACCUCCUUUGGUGGAGACGUCCAGUUCGUUGAGGCCACAUCAAUGGUGGGAAAGGGUGAUUUGCAUCUCACUGGCCAACUUGGUGAUGUUAUCAAAGAAUCUACUCAAAUAGCUCUAACAUGGGUAAUUUUUGUUCAUUUCUUCUUAUCCGACAUGGAUUGUUCGGUUCUUAUGAGUCACAAAUGCCAGCAUGGUUUUAAAUGGCAACCCCAUUCCUCAUGCAUGCAUCCCUUGUUUCCAUGAUAGGCAACCUUUAGCUUGUGGUCUCAAUUUCAUGUUCAGUUUUGACCUCGUCCUAUUGACUAUUUUAGAAAUCCUCAUUGCUGAUGUAUCUUAUUUGUUUUAGGACAGACUUCAUCAGAAAUGAAAUUCCUCAACUAACAUUCAUUCACCAAAAAAGAAAAAAGAAAAAGAAAAAGAAAAAAACUAGUCUAGAGAGUUCAAAAUUCAAGUAAGAAUUGAAUCAGGCAUGUAAUGAAUCAUUUUUUGGAGAUUCUUUAGGUAUGGAAAAUAUCAAAGAUUCUUUAGCUAUGGAAAAUUUCAAAGAUUCUUUAGCUAAGGCCUGUAGUUGUGUCAUGCAGGCUUCUUUUUCAAAUGAUUGAUAUAUACAUUUGGGAUUUAUCUUUCAAUAAAAAUAUACGUUUGGGAUUU
Magnolia sinica is the source of this 2329-nucleotide RNA transcript. It is a transcript of the gene named lon protease homolog 2, peroxisomal-like, with no coding region annotated. The transcript has 6 exons. The record is from RefSeq and is a predicted model, not a curated record. Lineage: Eukaryota; Viridiplantae; Streptophyta; Magnoliopsida; Magnoliales; Magnoliaceae.